GCACUCGCCUGGACGAAUCCCAGCGCUGAACCAGCGUCCCGCCAAGCAACAAGUAGUUUUAACAACAAAGGUGAGGUCGGCGCUGAGCACCCUUACUCAUUAAAUGAUUUCCUUCCCGUUAAGGGGGCCUGCGGAAGGAUCAUUAAAGAGUAAGGGUGCUCAGCGCCCGACCUCCAACCCUUUGUUGUUAAAACUACCUUGUUGCUUUGGCGGGACCGCUCGGUUCCGAGCCGCUGGGGAUUCGUCCCAGGCGAGUGCCCGCCAGAGUUAAACCAAACUCUUGUUAUUAAACCGGUCGUCUGAGUUAAAAUUUUGAAUAUAUCAAAACUUUCAACAACGGAUCUCUUGGUUCUCGCAUCGAUGAAGAACGCAGCGAAAUGCGAUAAGUAAUGUGAAUUGCAGAAUUCAGUGAAUCAUCGAAUCUUUGAACGCACAUUGCGCCCCUUGGUAUUCCGAGGGGCAUGCCUGUUCGAGCGUCAUUACACCACUCAAGCUAUGCUUGGUAUUGGGUGCCGUCCUUAGUUGGGCGCGCCUUAAAGACCUCGGCGAGGCCACUCCGGCUUUAGGCGUAGUAGAAUUUAUUCGAACGUCUGUCAAAGGAGAGGAACUCUGCCGAUUGAAACCUUUAUUUUUCUAGGUUGACCUCGGAUCAGGUAGGGAUACCCGCUGAACUUAA
This 676-nucleotide unclassified non-coding RNA is filed under the name Metschnikowia sp. JSKim-2014. RNAcentral's name for it is "partial contains 18S rRNA, ITS1, 5.8S rRNA, and ITS2". The stretch from base 326 to 479 matches the Rfam family "5.8S ribosomal RNA". Lineage: Eukaryota; Fungi; Ascomycota; Pichiomycetes; Serinales; Metschnikowiaceae. The record is from RNAcentral.